UUCCUCUCCCUGGUUCUCCAGGGGGGACUCGUGUCUGUGGACAGUCAAGAGCAACGGGGUGGGGGAGAAAUGGGCAAAUGCAGGGUUUCCAUCAGGAAAACCUUGUUCGAGUGUUCGGAGCGGUUGGCCAUUCCCUUCCCUGGCCCAUUUUACAAUGAGGAAACGGAGGCCGCCGGAGUGGAGUGACCCGCCCAGGGUCUCCGGGCUAGGAAGUGGCGGAGCCCCCAGCUGAACUCCUAAAGAGGCGUCUUCCCAAUUCCGAGGACCUUGCCAAGGAAGGGGGGGCGCCUCUUCCUUCCAAUCUCCCCCCAAACCCAUCUUGUGGCUCAGAAGUCGGGGAGCCCUGAUUAAGCACCUCAGAAUGAGCCACCCUCCCUCCGAGCGCCUGCCCAGCCAGCUGUGGAUCCCCCGGUGGGGCCAGCUAACGCCCUGGCGUGGACCCCACGAGAGCCCUCAGGGUGAGGCCCAGGGAAGGGGCCCCCUCCUUCCUUCCGUCUGUCCGCACCCCAGGCCUUCGCUUCGGGCCUUGCUCCCAUGGGCGACCAAAACGGCCGAUGGGCUGCCUCCUGGGUGGCCUCGGGGGUCACUCUCCGGGCCUCAGUUUCCUCCUGUGUAGGGCCUUCUGGAGGCCUAAAAUGUGCUCCUUUUGCCCUUGAACCCUAGAGGAGAAGGGCAGGCAAUGGGGCCACACUUGGACCUGGAACCUCCCCUCUCAGUCUGGCUCCAUCCACUGAGCCACGGUGCUGGCCCGAAUUCUGUCCAUUUAAUGGAGGCGGCCCGGACUGCGCAUGAUGAGGAUGGCUGGCAUUUACCCAGCACCGCCUGGGCGCCAUGCCAGGGCCUUGGAAACACCAUCUCUUUGGACCCUGCGAGCCCCGCCCUGUGGGGACCCCAUUUGACAGGUGAGGAAACUGAGGCAAAGAGCAUAAGGGCCUUCCCGAGGUCAUCGGGUCCUGGGCCUCCCUCCGACGGCCGGGUGCCUGACCAAGCUCCAAGCGCCCCACGGCGACCAACGUCUCUGAGGGCUCCGGCGGGGACAUGGGCUGGGCGGUGGCCAACCAGCCCUGAGAAGACACCCUGCACCCCUCAGGCUGGUGCUCGGUUCUGUUGCCCACACCCUGGCUGCAUGACCCUGGCCAAGUCACUUAACUUCAGAGCACCAGGUACCUCCGCCUCCCCACACCUAGUACAGCCCAGGGGACAAGGAGGGGGAGACAGGAGGAAGGGGAGGUCUGGGGAGGGGGAGGGGCACUGCCAGGGGAUUGGCCUCUGCCCAAGCCGGGACUCUCUUCCCACUCCUGGUGGGCUGGCAUUGGGGCCUCCCCUGCUGGGAGCUCCUGGAGGGGCUGGGGCUGGCACACAGUAGGGGCUUUAUAAAUGUCUGCCCACAAAGAGCCGACUGUGGGCUGAGGUCACACAGUGGGUAGUGCCGGUGCCCCUCUGUUAGCUCCUUCUGACUCAGUUUCCCCACGAUGCCGGUGAGGGGCCUGCGCCCUCUUUCCAUGGGGCAGCCGAGGGGGCGGGGCCUCACUUCUGGCAGGCUAUGAGGGGGGCCUAAAGCCUCGGGCUAGGGAGGGGGAGGGGCGGCCCCGGCCCUUUUCCUCAGCGGGAUCUGAACUCCACCGCCAGCGCCUCCGCAGCGCCCGUCUGGAGGGCCGCCCCAACCAAAAGGGGGAGCUGGAGAUCGGCCGCCAGACGCAGCAGGGAGCAGGGAGGAGCUUGGGAGCUGGCUAGGGCCGCCGGGCUUCCAGGGAUCCCUCAGUUUCAUUUCCCCCUGGAAACGCCCUGAAGCUCCUCUUCUUCGGCUUCCCAGAGGAGUUCCGUGGUGCCUGCCCCGUCAGAUUGGGAGCCCCUGGAUGGGCUUCACCAACAGCCCUUCCGGGAGAGCCCCGGCCCUUUCGUUCCUUCCCGUCCUUGCCUGCACGAUCAGACCAGUUUGGAGCCGACUCCCGCCCCGGACUUGGAAGAGGUGGAAGGGUGGAAGGAUGGAGCGCCUGGAGAGUGGCAGAGGCCCCCUCCCUCUUUCCAGGUUCGCCAAUAAAGCCUGAGGAAGCACCUACUACCCUGAGAGAACGCAGAUCCCGCUGCACACCAAGGGAGCCGGGAACGGAGGGAAGGGCCUGGGGUUGGCCAGGAGGCACAGAGAGGAGGGGGCCGGCUGCGAGUCCGGAAUGGGAUCCUAGAGCUGAGAGGGACGAGGGGGGCCAGUGACAGAAGCAGGACGAAUUACGGGGAGAAACCUGGGACCUGCACUCAGGCGGCCCAGGGGAGACCCAAACCCCGCCCAUUUGGGCCCGCCCUCUCAAUGCCCAUCCCCCCGGUUUCCAGCCUCUGCCACCCCAGAAUGCCCAGGGCUGGGCUAGUCUGGAAAACGGUGGAGACCGUCUGUAAAUAUGCAGCUUGGCCCACUCUACUAGCUCCCGGCCAGGAUGAGCUGGAGGAAGCCCGCCCACUGAACCGUCAGGCACACGGGCCACAGGUUUGCCAUCACUGCCCUGUCCACUUCACAGCCAAGGCAAUUAUCCCAGCUUAGAAACCUUCUGGAAAUCAAUUCUCCCGUACAUCUGCACCCAACGACUUUGAGCCUCCCAGUGCUGCCCGACACCCCACAACUGGGAGACACCGAGUAGGUCUUUUGGGUGGAGAGGGAUGGGUCAAAGGAAGCAAGGCGACAGGGCAUAGAGAGAAAUACAUUUCACUGUUUCACAUGAUCACACAUGUUUGCCCCAUAUCAGAGGGCGUCCAGUCUAGGGGGGAAGGGAGGCUCGAGGAGAGUUAGGCACUCAAAACUUUUGAAAAGAAUGUUUAAAAAAAUUUUUAUGUGCAAUGGGUGGGGGAGGAGAUGAUUUAAAAAGAGCAAAAAGCUCAUUACAAUUUACAAAGCGCUUUACUCAGGACCUGGAAAACUGGCAGUUGUGAUAUUCUUCUGAUUUUACAUUUAGGAUUAGUAAAGCAUAGCUAAUUAAAAAAAUAUUCUAUAAGAAAAGGAGGGAAAGAAGUGAAAGAAAGGGGGGAAGAGUUAUAAGCAAAGAGGUAAGAGGAAACAAAAUCAAAACUAGAAAAGAAUAGAAUGUAGGAAAAUAGACAAUUAACUAUUAUAACUGCAAAAGCAAAUGGAAUGAAUUCACCUAUACAAUGGAAGAUAGCAAAAUGGAUUAGAAACCAGAGUCUAUUAUAUUGUUUACAAGAAACAGAAAGAACAUGAAAGAAAAAUGAAAGAAACAAAAAGAACAGGAAAAGUUCAAACAAGGGACUAGAGUGGAAUAUUUUAUGCUUCAGCUGAAAUUACUAAAAAGCAGCAGUAAAUUGGCCAAUAUGGCAGUAAAGGAAAGUGAUAAAUGUUGGAGGGGAUGUGUCAAAAUUGGGACACUGAUGCAUUGUUGGUGGAGUUGAGAACUGAUCCAACCAUUCUGGAAGGCAAUUUGGAACUAUGCCUGUAAUAUUUAUUGGGAAAGGAAAUAGGAUUGGGAAAAAUGGGAGGUUUCUAUGGGGUAUGGAGGAGUUAAGGGGAGAGAGGGAACACUGUUUGGUGAAGCAGGGGAGGGAGAUGCACCCUACUGAGAGGAAACAGCAGGGGUCCGAUAAGGUUUUUUAUUGCCUUGAUGACUGAAAAGAAGUUCAGCUCCCUCUAUGACCAGAAAAGAUAGUCCACUUAUCUGACUGCGAAUUUAAAUAAUAUAAAGUUUAAUAAUCCAGUUGGAAUUGGAGUUUUUCCUUAGCUUCAGAGUAUAGGGCCAGGCCCUAGAGGCUGGCGGAGGGUUUGUCCCACUCCUAUCUACUCUCGUUGUUCUAAUUCAGAAUCUUAGCAAUAGACAGAAAGCAAAUAAGAACAAUUCUAACCUUUAGAAGCCUGUGUCUUUGGGCUGAACCAAGAAGAGCAUGCCACUCCAGACUGGGCUGAACAAGCUCCUCUCUCCUCCAACACCAGGACCCCCAGUCUCCCCGGCAGGAAGGAAGAGCUAGUCCCAACACCCAACUGCCACUCCCAGUUGGUCCCUUCCCCCACAAACUGUCAGUCUAAUUUCCUUUCCACAUGCCCAAAGAGCUUUAAAACAACAUACCCUUUGAUCCAGGAAUACCACUACUAAAUCUAUAUCCCAAGGAGAUUUUUUUUUAAGGGGAGAGGGAAAAGGACCUUCUUACACAAGAAUAUUUAUGGCAGCUCUUUUUGUGGUAGCAAAGAAUUGGAAAUUGAGGGGAUGCCCAUCAGUUGGGGAAUGGCUAAACAAAUUGUAGUAUAUGGUGGUGAUGGAAUAUUAUCAUGCUAUAAGCAAUGAUGAACAAAAUGAUUUCAGAAAGAGCUGGAAAGACCUUCUGGAAUUGAUACAGAGUGAAAUAAACAGAACCAGGAGAACACCGUCCAUAGUAACAACAUCAUUGCAGAAUCAUCAGACUUCGUUACCCUCAGCAUACGAUGAUCUAGGACAAUUCUGAAGGACUUAUGACAAAGAAUGCUAUCCACCUCCAGAGAAAGAACUGUGGGAAUUGGAUACAGAUCAAAGCAUAUAUUUUUCGCUUUAGUUUAUUUGUUUUUUUUUUUAUUUUGAGGUGUUGGUUCUCUAUGAGUAUUCUCCUACAACCAUGAACAAUAUGGAAACGUGUUUUGCAUGAGAAUACAUGAUUAACCCAGAUAAAAUUGCUUACUAAUUCUGGGAGGGAGGAGAGAAGGGAGGGAGGGAGACAAUUUGGAUCAUAUAACAUCAGAAAACUUAUGUGGAAAAUUGAUAUUACAUGUAAUUGGUAAAAUAAAAUAUUUUAAUUAAAAAAAAUUUUAAGCAGGGGUAAACAACCAUGAGCUCCAAUAAAGCAAUAGUAAUAAUAGGCCUAAUUAAAAGAGAUUAGCAGAAAUACCUUGUGCUGAAAGUUUUCAUAGACAAUGAGGCACCAAAUGGCAUAGAAUCAAAAUUCUUUUUUUAAUGUAUUUAUUUUAAAAGUAUUUCCCCAUGAUUACAUGAUUCAUUUUCUCUCCCUCACCCUUCCCGGAGAUGACAAGCAAUUCCACUCAGUUAUACAUGUAUUAUCACUCAAAACCUAUUUCCAUAUUAUUCAUUUUUGUAAUACUCUUUUAAAAACCAAGGCCCCACAUCCAAAACCCAUAUAAACAAAUGAAAAAUCAAAUGUUUUCCUUCUGUGUUUCUGCUCCCACAGUUCUUUCUCUGGAUGUGGAGAGCUUCUUUCUCGAAAGUCCCUCAGGAUUGUCCUGGGUCAGUGCAUUGCUGCUAGUAGAGAAGUCAGUUACAUCAGAUUGUGCUACAAUGUAUCUGUCUCUGUGUACAACGUUCUCCUGGUUCUGCUACUCUCACUCUGCAUCACUUCCUGGAGGUCGUCCCAGUUCACAUGGAGUCCCUCCAGUUCAUCAUUCCUUUGACCCCAAUAGUAUUCCAUCACCAACAGAUGCCAUGUGUUCAGCCAUUCCCCAAUCAAAGGGCAUCCCCUCGUUUUCCAGUUUUUUGCCACCACAAAGAACAGAGCUAUGAAUAUUUUUGAACAACCCUUUUUGAUGAUCUCUUUAGGAUACAGUAGUGGUAUUACUGGCUCAAAGGGCAGGCAGUCUUUUACAGCUCUAUAAUUCCAAACUGCCUUCCAGAAUGUUAGGAUCAGUUCACAACUCCACCAGCAACAUGUCAGUGUCCCAAUUUUGCCACAUCCCACCCAACAUUUAUUAUUUCCCUUUACUUUCAUAUUGGCCAAUCUGCUAGGUGUGAGGUGGUACCUCAGAGUUCAAUAAAAUGUUUAAUAAUCCUUUUUGGACACUCAGAUCCCUGUUCUUCCCCUUCCUCCCAGCCCUUCUCUCUCCACAAGAAGCCAGGGUAUCUGAUAUAGGUGGUACAUAUGUCCUCAUACAAUACCUAUUUCCAUGAUCAUCCUGCUGGGAAAGAAGACCUGUUGCUUCCACUCAAAAACCAUGCGCAGAGGAAACCAAGUGAACAGAAUGCUCCAAUCUGCGUUCAGGCUCUGUUGUGGGAGUCCCCUGGACCAGCGCCUUGCUGCCAGCCAAGCCUUUCACAGCUGAUCAUCAGAUGGGAUUGCUCUCAAUGUGCACACUCUUCUGGUUCUGCAUACUCCCCUUGGAGCCUCUUCAAGUUAAAUCAUUCAAUGCCGACUUCUUCCUUGCUGAAGGCAUUGGUCACCCUGAAGGAAAACAACAUGCUAAGAGGCCUGAGAGCAAGCACGUAGCCCUUCUUCCCUCUGCUGAUGACUGGGAAAGCCCAAGGUCCGUUAUUCAGGACUUGUGUGAGUGUGCUGGUCUGGACUGGCACAGAAUUUUUUUUCAGAUUGUGAGUUCCCAAAUUCUCUUCUCUUUUUCUUCCUGGAAUAUAAUCCUAUUGAACUUCUCUGGGCAACCCAGUGGUGCUAUAGCCUUCCCCAAGCCCUCACGACGGACAGUAUCAAAGGCUUUGGUCAAUCGCUAAAUGUCCUCACAGCCCUCCAUUUUGCUUCAGCAGCAAACACCGUUUGGACUGUUUCUUGGCCCUUUUUGAGGUCACACAUGGCCUAACACUUCCCUCCACGUGCCGACAUCAGAAGCUCCAAAUGGUUCAGAUGUACAUAAGGGGCGCCAUUAGAAGCAAAUCAGAUGAGCAAGGAGGAAGCUACCUGUCGCAGCUACGGAGAGACACGAAUUCAUGACAGACCGCCAAAGAAGGAGACCCACAGCAGGCCAAACGGGCAAUCGGAUUACAUGAAGGCAGAGAGGGAAGCAAAUCAAGGGGGAGAAAAUCUCUGCCGAGCAGCGCCGUUGAGCCCAGCCAUCCCCUAACCGAGGGGGGCGGAAUCAAGGCUGACCCGUGCUGGUUUUCCACGUGGCGUGGCGGGAGAGGGAAUUUAUAAACACAAACAUUCCAAACAAUCUAUGUAGAGUCCUAAGUCUGUGUGUAAUCGUAACCCUGCUCUGAGGGAAAAGGACAGGCAGAGAGAGAGGAAAAGGAGAUGGAGGGAGAGGGAAACGGAGCCCUGCGGGGUGACGGAGAAAGAACUGGCUUGGUCCGGGCUCUAACGUCUCCCCAGGCACCUACUAGCUACUGCUUGCUGCCUCUGGCCUCAGGGACCUGCCUGUCAGUCCCUUCCAGGGGAGGAGGAGGGUCCCUACUAUCCCGUGGUCUAGAGCGUCGAGCUCAGGGAGAACGAGAGCUGAGGACGGGCUGCUGGGCCUAGCAACAAGGCGCCGUGGGGGCCUUUGGGGCGCUGGCCACAAAUGAAGAUCAUUCCUUGGAGCGUGGCUGUGAAAAGGGGGAGACAGGAAGAGAGCUCGUGGCGGGGGCGUGUCUGAAAGAUGGAGGGCGCAGCAGCACGCAUGUAGGCGGUAGGUCAGGGCCGUGGGAAGGGGCAAACAGAAAAUGGCAGGAGGGGGCCCGAGGCACAUGCGGAGACGCCUGUGGCCAUGGCAAGGCGCAGGGUCAGCCCUUCUUGGAGACUGGAGCCACGGCAGGAGGGAGUUAAUGCGGGGGGGGGGGGGGGCUGAGACGGGCAGAGGGGAGCUCACAGGGGAAGCCUCUCAUCUCUGAGGCAAGAAUGAAGCCCCUUGGCUGAGGGGGAAAGCGGCGUGGACAGAGAUGGGCUCUCUACACGGGGGGUGGGGCUGUGCCCCUUCCCCACCCCUCCCUCUCCCCGUCACCACGGAGGACACUCUAAGGUUGGGUCGUCCACCCCGGAGCCACGUGAGGACACAUCUCCGACCUCUGUGAGCUCCCAGCAAGACGGCGCUUGGCGGUCCUGUUCUACUCGACUCGCUGUGCUCCUGGGAGGUGGGUGCUACUAUCAUCCCCAUCCUCCAGAUGAGGACACCGAGGCCAAGUGCUUAGAGCCGAGGCGGGAUGGGAACCGCGGUCUCCCCGACCCCAGGCUCCAUCCAUCCUGCCAAGCAGCCGCCUCUCCGUGGUCUUGGCACGUGGCACCCCUGGGCUGGGGCAUCCCUGGGCCGGGCGCCAGGGCUAAGGGUCCCCAGUGUCCGUGGACAGCUCUUUCGUUCCUCCUUGGACCUCUCCGUCCUUCCUGACAUCCUCGCUGGCAGUGGAGACCCCGUGAGAGAGCUGGGCCGCCCUGGGCCUGCCCCUGCCGCCCCGUCUUCUCUGAAUUCUUUGGGGACCCCAAUGGAACACGUGGGCCGUCCGUGCGCUCUUCCUUGCUCUGGCAGCACAACCAGAGCCUCAGACCCUUAACGUGGCUUCUUUAACUCGUUUCCCUUUUGUCCUGGAAUCCAUUUUAAGACAGAAGGACAAGGGCCAGACAAGGGGGGCCGAGUGACUUGCCCAGGGUCACACAGCCAGGAAGUGUGAGGCCAGAUGGGAACCCAGGAGCUCCCGCCUCCAGACCUGGUGCUCGGCCCACUGCUCUUCUUCUCCCACGUCUUGGACGGAGUGCGAGUCCUGCACGCUCGCACCUGGGGCUCCCCGUGGCAGCCAGGGCAGCCGAGCCCUCCACGUGGGCUUCCUGGAAGAGCUCCUCUGUGGCUGCAAGGCCACGCACGGCCACGAGCCCCCAGCAGGAUUACGGGGCCGCCCGGUCCCUGCCGGCCCGAGGCGGCCAGAGGUUCUUCGCUCCCCGGACCCUGCCGGGCGCGCUGCCAACGACUCGAGCCAGAAGCGAAGGCGGCCGGCCGGGAAGCCUUGGAGCGAGGACUUGAGGCGUCUGAAGGUGGAGGAAGCCGAGAGAAGGGCUGGCUGGGGCCAGGCGGCCUGAGCUGGGUGCGAGCCGGGCGGCUGCCAGGCCUGCGUCCGGCCCUCGCGCAAACACUGACUCGGCACCUCUCGCUUCCCGGGAACGACCCAACGGGACGGCGGGAGGCCGAGCCCUGGGGCCACCCUGGGCCCCUCCCACGCCGGGCAGCGAGCUCUGGGGGGAGACCCUCAGAGGGGUCCCCCGGCCGGCCAUCCUGCCCUCUAUCAACUUCAUUGGGGCUCCUGCUUGCCUGGGCCCGUGUCCAAUAAGGAGUGUUCUUGUCCCCCUCAGACCUGCCCCUGGGCCUGACAGGAGGGGAAACUGAGGCAUGGAUUCGCCCAGGUCUACACGGCUAGUGAGGGUUUGAGGUGGGUGUCUGCACCCCCCAGGGCCCAGGCCUUGGGUGCUGUAGGCCUGGGCACACGUGGAGGGUGUCUGUGCCAUCUCCAGGGGGGCCAGAGCCCCAGAGGGGUCCCUGGGGGCCCCCCCGGGGCUCAGAGGUCAAAGCAGGAAGGAGGAGCAAAGCCUUGGAGUGGCCCGACAAGGCGCAGCCACGUCUCACGGGACCCUCACGAGCACCUGCCGGCGGCGCCCAGAGAGGACCGACUCGCUUCGGCUCGCACGGCCGGCUUUGAACCCGCCUGCCCGGCACGCUUAGUCUGUCCGCUGGCCUGAGCGCGUCACCCCCGGAAACGCCUGUAUCUGGGCCGACGGACGCCACUGGUGGGGGCAGCCUGCAGGGCGCCCGGCUGAGAGACGGGGCCGAGACGGGGCCGCUCUUCGUUUUGCUCUCCUUCCCCCGCACAGGGCUGCCACCGGCGCCCCCACCCCACGCUCUGUGGCUUCCCGUGGCCGGCCCUGCCUCACUCGUCACGUCUGUUGGCUCCUGAAGCACCUGAAGAUGUAGUUCAAGGAGGAACUUGGGCUCAGCUGGGUGACCCUGGGCAAGUCAUUUGCCUUGAAAUGACCCUUUGCUUCCCGUGUCCAGGGUUGUUGUGAGGACGUAUAAAGAGGCCAGGCAAGCCUUCCCCUUAUCGGAGGCACCAGGGCAGUAGAGGCGCGCUUUCCCCUCUGCCCACGUCUACAAACGGUCCUCCUGCAGCCCCGGCCUCCAACGCUGCCCAAGUGCCCGCUGCGUGCCCAGCUCUGGGGAUACAAAUCCAGAAAGCCCAAAGGCAGUCUGUGCACGCCCUGGAGGAGGCGCACGUACCCCACCGGCCACGGCUGCCCAGGGAGCUGAGGUGCCGGCCGUCGAGCCCAGAGAGAUGCCAGCUUCCCGGGGGAAGCCAAGGAGAUGGAGAAGAGAUCCCCUCUCCUCUUCCUCCUCCUCCCCUUCCUCCCCCUCCCCCCUCCUCUUCCUCCUCCUCCCCCUCCCCCCCUCCUCUUCCUCCUCCUCCCCUCCCUCCCCCUCCCCCCUCCUCUUCCUCUUCCUCCUCCUCCCCUUCCUCCUCCUCCUCCUCCUCCCCUUCCUCCUCCUCCCCUUCCUCUUCCUCCUCCUCCUGGGGAAGGCAGCUCUCUGUGUCUUCUGAAUGCCAUUCUCGCUCGCUCGCUUGGUGGCAUCCCCUGAAGGACUCUGCCUCUCACGCCUACCCAGCAUGCUGAGCCCCGGCCCUACCUUCCCCUCUACCCCUCACGGCAGCCUUGACGUCGUCCUCUUUCCCGGGUCGACUUGAGCGAUGCUUUGGGUAACGCUCUGGUGAUUCGAUGAACCUAAUAUUGAUCUGGAGACUCCGACUGUGGCUAUUGCCACGACCUACCUGAGGUCAAAGCUGGCCCCGGGAAAGUCACUGAAUCCACUUGCCUCAGUUUCCUCAUCUGUAAAAGUGAUCCUAAUAGCACCUGAGAUCAUUGUAAAGUGCUUAGCACAGUGUUUGGCACACGAGGGCUAUAUUAACGUGGCUGCUCAGUCACGUCCACGUCUUCCUGACCCCAUGGACCGUGCUGGAGCAGCUGGCCAUUUUCUUCCCAUGAAGCGGCUGCCCAGGAUCACACAGCAAGCAAAUGUCUGAGUCCUGCUUUGAACUCAGGUCAUCUUGAUCCCAGGCCUGCCCUCCUAUCCACUGAGCCACUUAGCUGCCUCGGAGGUAAACAGAGAAAUGACUUGCCCAACGUCACACAGCUAAUGAGUGUCCACGGUCACAUUUGAACUCGGGCCUUUGUGCCCGACUCCGGAUCCAGUGGCCUCUCCACUGAGCCAUCCGGCUGCCCCAUAGGACAGUCAGCUAGUUUUCCACACAAGGUUUUAGACACUUUGGUCUGCUUGUUUCCUAACUUAACAUGAUUGAAAUAAACGAUCAUAGCAAAAAGCCAAACCCAAAGUGGCCUUUAUUACUAUUCCUCCACGUAGCGGGUCUCCCUUGAGGUCGGUGGACACUGCCUGAUGUUCGUCAGCAGCUCAGCUUCCAAAGAGCGAGUGUAGUUUGGCUACUUUCUAUCAGUUCUUCCUUGGGGAAGAAAUCGAACCGUCACAGAGAAAAUGCUCCAAACCACUCAUGAGCAGAGAACUAACUGCAAACAACUCAUUAGAUUGGCUCAGCGGAGAGAAAAGUGGGUGUCGGGGGGAGAUGUAGAAAAAUGGGGCCACUCUUGUGCUCUUCCAGCCAUCCUGGAGAAGGCCAUCAGCCAGACGUGCUCUCGCUAGUAGCUUCAGAUCCCAAAGAGACCAAAGGAAAAGGAGAAGCGCCGGAUGCACAAAGGCUUUGAUGGCAGUUCCUGUUGGCCUUUGCAAUGUGGAAAUGGAUGGAUGCCUGGGUUGGGGCAUGGCUGAGCAAGUCGUGGUAGAGAAGCGAGAUGGACUACCGCGGGGCCUCGGAGGAGGAGGGCUGUCAGCAAAUCCUGAACAGAUGCAGAGUGAAGCGAGCAGAACCAGAGAAGGUUGUUCCCGGUGAUCAACUGUGAGAGGCUUCAUGAAGCAGAUAAAAGACCUGCCUAAGCUCCAGGCAGACUGACUUCCUGAGGCACACUCAAGCAUGUUUUCCUCCCUUUAUUCUUCUUGGUGGUCCAACUCGUGCCCUGGAAAUGUUUUACAUGGCUUCACAUGUAGAACAGGGCUUCUAUUUCUUGCAUUUUCCCUGGGUAAAGGAGGGGCUGGAAAUAACGAUUUAAAAACAUCCCUUGUGUUUGUAGGUAACACACAGAAACGCCUACGCUUGGGGAUCACUUUGUAUUCUACUUUUCUAAUCUUAUUAAACAGUUACUGAAGUCA
Molecule: non-coding RNA, 11863 nt
Organism: Monodelphis domestica (gray short-tailed opossum)
Lineage: Eukaryota; Metazoa; Chordata; Mammalia; Didelphimorphia; Didelphidae
Source: RefSeq, a predicted model, not a curated record